Molecule: long non-coding RNA, 463 nt
Filed under: Equus caballus (horse)
Lineage: Eukaryota; Metazoa; Chordata; Mammalia; Perissodactyla; Equidae
Description: lncRNA (ENSECAG00000057189.1)
Source: RNAcentral
GGGGAGGGGCUGUUACUCACACGCGCCGGUCUGGGUUCAGAUCAAUUCUGUUCUCUGGUCUCCUGAGACCCUUGAUUUAUAGGGUCCCCGCGGAUAGAAGCUUUCCCCCCCAUCAGCGGGUUUCCACUGAACCAGCAGCAGGAGUCCUGGAUGAUCCCCCAGUUGCGCAGCCCCUCCCCCGCUCCUUCCCGACCUGCACAGCAGCGAUCUCAGACUCUAGGAGAGGGAGUGAUGUUCUCUCCUACCGUUCCAGUGCCUCCAAGGCUAGCUUCUAAAACCCUUGAGAAGUUCCUGAGUGAUGAGGAUGAUAGGAGCAUCUUCGAUUAUUCGCAACAAGCCCCUUUCAACCAUACCUGGGUUUAUGCUAAUAAGGUAACUCUAGGACUCCUGAAAGAAGAUGGACCAGAAAAGAUGCCUUUGCAAUUAUAAGACUCUGUGGCUUUAGCUUUGACUAGUAUUUUCA